GCAGUCGCCACGGUAAUACGUAGGUGGCAAGCGUUGUCCGGAAUUACUGGGCGUAAAGCGCGCGCAGGUGGUUUAAUAAGUCUGAUGUGAAAGCCCACGGCUCAACCGUGGAGGGUCAUUGGAAACUGUUAAACUUGAGUGCAGGAGAGAAAAGUGGAAUUCCUAGUGUAGCGGAGAAAUGCGUAGAGAUUAGGAGGAACACCAGUGGCGAAGGCGGCUUUUUGGCCUGUAACUGACACUGAGGCGCGAAAGCGUGGGGAGCAAACAGGAUUAGAUACCCCAGUAGUCCCUGUCUCUUAUAC
This 302-nucleotide ribosomal RNA is filed under the name uncultured bacterium. Its description in RNAcentral is "partial 16S ribosomal RNA". It matches the Rfam family "Bacterial small subunit ribosomal RNA", at positions 508 to 807 of the family's 1533-position model. The record is from RNAcentral.